UCGGGCUCGUGCGGGUCUCUACAAAGCGGGCGGGCGCGAGGCGUAGUGCUGGUCUUCCUCAGCGCUGUGCUGCCAUGUUUUGCGGGCUUGGUGCAUUCCUUGGAGAGCGCCAGUUUUUAGAAGGGAGGUUGCUGCCUAUCUCCUAAUGAUUAAUUAUACACCAGAUUGAAAUCAUAUCCAUGCAUGUGUGAUGCAGUGGGGCUCCCUGGUUGUGCUGAGGGAGAGGAGCAUAGCCUGAAGGGUGUGCGUGGCUGCCAUUUUGUGGGCUGAGGGACUGCUCAGGGCUGUGUGGUGUAGGCAUGGUGGCUGUGGAGCUGCCUGCAGCCCACUGAGCUCAGUGCGACGUGUGGAAGCUGGCCACAAUAUCAACACCCAUCUUCCUUCAGAGCCUCGCUGUGAUUCUGAUCUAACAAAAUCACAGCUGAACAGUUUCGCCAGCUUCAGCUGAUUUCUUCUUGAUGUCCUUUGACAGAAGGUUUCAGCAUUUGUUCCAGCUUCCCACCCAUUCCUAUUGAUAGAGCAAUAAAGG
This 529-nucleotide long non-coding RNA is filed under the name Gallus gallus (chicken). RNAcentral's name for it is "long non-coding RNA NONGGAT001516". The record is from RNAcentral. Lineage: Eukaryota; Metazoa; Chordata; Aves; Galliformes; Phasianidae.